UCACAUCCCCCCUUUCAUCUCUCAAACCCCUUCACCUCUGAAAACCCUAGAGACGCCGCCACCCUUUUCCACCGCCCUAAACCCGGUGACGCCAGUUCCAUUCACCACCAAAAAUAUACCACAGAACCUCCACGACCCCCUCUUUACAAAUCUCAGAUUAGUUUCCUUUGAAUCUUUCUAGAAACCCUCGAAUAUUAGAUCCAAAUUCAAGCCCUAAAAAUUCAAAACUCGAUACGGUCAAAACUGGUGGCAUGCAUCGACUCGGGAAGGCCGAUUCACUACAAAUUUGAUGUCAUUCUCUAUUUCUUGACAGAGAAAAGCGAUUGGUAUCAGUUUUGUAUGAAUCAAGUUAUCAAAUUUUAACUUCGAGUCUAGCCAGGUGAGUUCUAUUUUCUAUUGACUAGUUCAUUAUUCUUUUCUUCUCUUCUUCUUCUUCUUCUAGCCCUAAUCUAAUGGUCUGCUCUUGGUCUGCGUGUUCGAAUAAUUUCGAACUCAGUUUUGUUUUUCUUUUAUAUCAAUUUAAGGAUCGUUUGUUAGUUUUUCAGUUUUGUUUUGUUUUUUAAAAAAAUUAUAAUUAUGGUUAAAUUGCUGCACUUUUAUUUUUAGGUUAUGACAUGAUAAUUAUUAGCUUAUUUAGUCUUGGUUGAAUUUUAGUUAUUUUGUUUUUUUCUUUUAGCUUUCGGCCGAUUGAGAGCAUUUGGCUCUGAGGUCCGAUUGAAAUUGGAUAUGCUUUGCUAUCUUUCACAGAAUUGGAUUUGGACACUAAAAUUUGAAGCCCAAGACCUGGGCUAUACAAACCCACACCAAGUCAAAUUGGGUCAAUCUGACCCAUGUUUGGUCUGUUUCCUGAAAUAAUAACAGGGUCAUGGGGGAUAAUUUGGGUAGUCUAGCUUAAGGGAACCUCAAUAAUUGAAUUAGGUGGCUGCUAAUAAGUGAUAAGGUUUAGAAAGGGCACUACUGAAUUAAAUUAUAAGCACUAAGUUAGUGGAUAGUUAAAAAUGAAAAAAUUGACUGGUAGUGGAGAGAACACUAACUUAAUGCCUAUUUCAAGGGCUGUUGGGGACAGAAAUAAGGGGACAGAGUUUAGAGGUGAAAAAGAAAAGAAAAAGUUUGUAAAAGAGAACUUAAGAACAUAGAAAGAAUUCACUGGAGACACUGAUAGAGAUAGUUGAAAGAAAACUGAAAAGAAAACUCGGAAAUAACCUUAAGUUUCUUGCAUUUCCUUGUUGAAAGCCACUCAAAUUCUGUUUGGUUUUUGUGUUCUUGGUUACUUAGAAUUUCCGAAAGCUUCAAAGAUCCUGUAUCAGAUUUAAGAUAGCUCAAAUUCCAUUGUUUCUAAAAUCUGGUUUUGAGCUGUUGCUACUACUGUUACAUUGCUGAUCUGUUGUGUCGUAUCCAUUAACCCUCAUUUACUUCUUGUUUUCCUCUUAUUUCUCAGGUAUAUUACUUAAUUCCUCCUAAUGUAAAGUUUGCUUCAUGUCUGAUAUGGAAAACUGGAAGUUUAGAGCAUAAUAUCAGCUUGUUUCUUCUAUUAUAGUGUAGCUUUACUUUUUAUGAAACUAUGAGUGGUUGGUGGAUAUUCUCCCUCUUGGUGAUAGCACUCAUUGAGAGUUGAAUUUGGUUCAAGAAUUAGCAAAGAAAUUCAAUGUUCUGUUUAGUAUUUCAUAGUUAAAGCUUGGUCUUGUAUAACUGAAUCUUUUCAUGAUUCUAAACUCUUAUGGAGGUUCGUUUAACAUUAAGUUUAAUCAAGUUUGGAUAUAACUUGUAUCCCUUUUGCUUGGACUCUUAA
RNAcentral lists this long non-coding RNA (1789 nucleotides) under Nicotiana tabacum (common tobacco). Its description in RNAcentral is "long non-coding RNA (NTAB_LNC012150)". The record is from RNAcentral. Lineage: Eukaryota; Viridiplantae; Streptophyta; Magnoliopsida; Solanales; Solanaceae.